ACGUACACUCCUACGGGAGGCAGCAGUGGGGAAUAUUGGACAAUGGGCGCAAGCCUGAUCCAGCCAUGCCGCGUGAGUGAUGAAGGCCCUAGGGUUGUAAAGCUCUUUCACCGGUGAAGAUAAUGACGGUAACCGGAGAAGAAGCCCCGGCUAACUUCGUGCCGGCAGCCGCGGUAAUACGAAGGGGGCUAGCGUUGUUCGGAUUUACUGGGCGUAAAGCGCACGUAGGCGGACUAUUAAGUCAGGGGUGAAAUCCCGGGGCUCAACCCCGGAACUGCCUUUGAUACUGGUAGUCUUGAGUUCGAGAGAGGUGAGUGGAAUUCCGAGUGUAGAGGUGAAAUUCGUAGAUAUUCGGAGGAACACCAGUGGCGAAGGCGGCUCACUGGCUCGAUACUGACGCUGAGGUGCGAAAGCGUGGGGAGCAAACAGGAUUAGAUACCCCUGUAGUCCCAUG
Molecule: ribosomal RNA, 454 nt
Filed under: uncultured organism
Description: partial 16S ribosomal RNA
Rfam family: Bacterial small subunit ribosomal RNA
Source: RNAcentral